GGUUAAGUUAGAAAGGGCGCACGGUGGAUGCCUUGGCACUAGGAGCCGAAGAAGGACGGGACUAACACCGAUAUGCUUUGGGGAGCUGUACGUAAGCGUUGAUCCAGAGAUUUCCGAAUGGGGGAACCCACUAUCUUUAGUCGGAUAGUAUCCUUACGUGAAUACAUAGCGUGAGGAAGGCAGACCCAGGGAACUGAAACAUCUAAGUACCUGGAGGAAGAGAAAGAAAAAUCGAUUUCCUGAGUAGCGGCGAGCGAAACGGAAAGAGCCCAAACCAAGAAGCUUGCUUCUUGGGGUUGUAGGACACUCUAUACGGAGUUACAA
This 324-nucleotide ribosomal RNA is filed under the name Listeria monocytogenes. Its description in RNAcentral is "partial 23S ribosomal RNA". It matches the Rfam family "Bacterial large subunit ribosomal RNA", at positions 1 to 325 of the family's 2925-position model. The record is from RNAcentral. Lineage: Bacteria; Bacillati; Bacillota; Bacilli; Caryophanales; Listeriaceae.